This 894-nucleotide ribosomal RNA is filed under the name uncultured bacterium. RNAcentral's name for it is "bacterial SSU rRNA". It matches the Rfam family "Bacterial small subunit ribosomal RNA", at positions 529 to 1420 of the family's 1533-position model. The record is from RNAcentral.
GGGGUCCGAGCGUUAAUCGGAAUUACUGGGCGUAAAGGGUCUGUAGGUGGUUUGUUAAGUCAGAUGUGAAAGCCCAGGGCUCAACCUUGGAACUGCAUUUGAUACUGGCAAACUAGAGUAUGGUAGAGGAAUGGGGAAUUUCUGGUGUAGCGGUGAAAUGCGUAGAGAUCAGAAGGAACACCAAUGGCGAAGGCAACAUUCUGGACCAAUACUGACACUGAGGGACGAAAGCGUGGGGAUCAAACAGGAUUAGAUACCCUGGUAGUCCACGCUGUAAACGAUGAGUACUAGCUGUUGGAUUCGGUGUAAAGGAUCUAGUGGCGUAGCUAACGCGUUAAGUACUCCGCCUGGGGACUACGGCCGCAAGGCUAAAACUCAAAGGAAUUGACGGGGACCCGCACAAGCGGUGGAGCAUGUGGUUUAAUUCGAUGCAACGCGAAGAACCUUACCUGGUCUUGACAUCCUGCGAACUUUCUAGAGAUAGAUUGGUGCCUUCGGGAACGCAGUGACAGGUGCUGCACGGCUGUCGUCAGCUCGUGUUGUGAAAUGUUGGGUUAAGUCCCGCAACGAGCGCAACCCCUAUUGAUAGUUACCAUCAUUAAGUUGGGUACUCUAUUGAGACUGCCGCUGACAAGGCGGAGGAAGGUGGGGACGACGUCAAGUCAUCAUGGCCCUUACGACCAGGGCUACACACGUGCUACAAUGGGUAUUACAGAGGGCAGCGAAGUAGCGAUAUGGAGCGAAACUCAGAAAGGUACUCUUAGUCCGGAUUGCAGUCUGCAACUCGACUGCAUGAAGUCGGAAUCGCUAGUAAUCGAAGGUCAGAAUACUGCGGUGAAUACGUUCCCGGGUCUUGUACAAAAGGCCCGUCACUACCAUGGGAGUGGGUUGCUC